UACGUAGGGGGCAAGCGUUGUCCGGAUUUAUUGGGCGUAAAGAGCGUGUAGGCGGCUUUACAGGUCCGUUGUGAAAACUCCAGGCUCAACUUGGAGACGCCAUUCGAUACUGCGAUGACUUGAGUCCGGUAGGGGAGUGUGGAAUUCCUGGUGUAGCGGUGAAAUGCGCAGAUAUCAGGAGGAACACCGGCGGCGAAGGCGGCACUCUGGGCCGGUACUGACGCUGAGGAGCGAAAGCGUGGGUAGCAAACAGG
This 254-nucleotide ribosomal RNA is filed under the name uncultured bacterium. RNAcentral's name for it is "partial 16S ribosomal RNA". It matches the Rfam family "Bacterial small subunit ribosomal RNA", at positions 524 to 776 of the family's 1533-position model. The record is from RNAcentral.